RNAcentral lists this non-coding RNA (31 nucleotides) under Rattus norvegicus (Norway rat). Lineage: Eukaryota; Metazoa; Chordata; Mammalia; Rodentia; Muridae. The record is from RNAcentral.
UACGAGAGCAAAGAAGGUCAAACAGAACAAG